RNAcentral lists this ribosomal RNA (433 nucleotides) under uncultured bacterium. RNAcentral's name for it is "partial 16S ribosomal RNA". It matches the Rfam family "Bacterial small subunit ribosomal RNA", at positions 29 to 507 of the family's 1533-position model. The record is from RNAcentral.
AACGAACGCUGGCGGCAUGCCUAACACAUGCAAGUCGAACGAGACCUUCGGGUCUAGUGGCGCACGGGUGCGAAACGCGUGGGAACCUGCCCUUAGGUUCGGAAUAACUCCCCGAAAGGGGUGCUAAUACCGGAUAAUGUCUUCGGACCAAAGAUUUAUCGCCUUGGGAUGGGCCCGCGUUGGAUUAGCUAGUUGGUAGGGUAAAAGCCUACCAAGGCGACGAUCCAUAGCUGGGCUGAGAGGAUGAUCAGCCACACUGGGACUGAGACACGGCCCAGACUCCUACGGGAGGCAGCAGUGGGGAAUAUUGGACAGUGGGCGAAAGCCUGAUCCAGCAAUGCCGCGUGAGUGAUGAAGGCCUUAGGGUUGUAAAGCUCUUUUACCCGGGAUGAUAAUGACAGUACCGGGAGAAUAAGCUCCGGCUAACUCCGUG